RNAcentral lists this ribosomal RNA (536 nucleotides) under uncultured bacterium. RNAcentral's name for it is "bacterial SSU rRNA". It matches the Rfam family "Bacterial small subunit ribosomal RNA", at positions 57 to 623 of the family's 1533-position model. The record is from RNAcentral.
GCAAGUCGAGCGGCAGCGCAGGGUGCUUGCACCCUGGCGGCGAGCGGCGGACGGCUGAGUAACGCGUAGGAACGUACCCUAAAGUGAGGAAUAACUGCCCGAAAGGGUGGCUAAUGCCGCAUGUGCUCUUCGGAGUAAAGCUUCGGCGCUUUGGGAACGGCCUGCGUCCGAUUAGCUAGUUGGUAAGGUAAUGGCUUACCAAGGCUACGAUCGGUAGCUGGUCUGAGAGGAUGACCAGCCAGACUGGGACUGAGAACGGCCCAGACUCCUACGGGAGGCAGCAGUAGGGAAUUUUCCACAAUGGGCGAAAGCCUGAUGGAGCAACGCCGCGUGCAGGAUGAAGGCCUUCGGGUCGUAAACUGCUUUUCUCUGUGAAGAUUAUGACGGUNACAGAAGAAUAAGGAUCUGCUAACUACGUGCCAGCAGCCGCGGUCAUACGUAGGAUCCAAGCGUUAUCCGGAAUUACCGGGCGUAAAGAGUUGCGUAGGUGGCAUGGCAAGUUGGUGGUGAAAUCGUGUGGCUCAACCACACUCACA